Long non-coding RNA from Carassius gibelio (silver crucian carp), 380 nucleotides. RefSeq lists it as uncharacterized. The record is from RefSeq and is a predicted model, not a curated record. NCBI's taxonomy places the organism in Eukaryota, Metazoa, Chordata, Actinopteri, Cypriniformes, Cyprinidae. The transcript has 4 exons.
UUGUUUGUUUUUAUCACACUUUUAUUAACACAUUUUAUGUAUACUGAAUGUAAUUCUGGUCUCUUUAUCUUAAUCUGUGGUAAAGCUUAACCAGAUUUUGAGUAAAAAUGACAGAGAUGAGACAAUUGCUCAAGUUGGAAGCAUUAAACUGCAGCAGAAAGAUUUCUUGACCUUGGGCCUCAAUGCAGCGCUUGAGGCAACAAUUGCAAACAGCUGUCUUAAUGUGAUCGUCAUGGUGGCUAAGGAAAAGGGAACAGAUGUGUUUGCAGCAAAUUCCUAUGUUGUAGUUACCUGGCUACCACCACUUGAAUUGGACCCAUUUUUAUCGUUUCCAGAUAACAUAGGAUCCAAGGAUUACUGCUUGGAUGCCAUGGACACUG